Molecule: ribosomal RNA, 2099 nt
Filed under: human gut metagenome
Description: bacterial LSU rRNA
Rfam family: Bacterial large subunit ribosomal RNA
Source: RNAcentral
GAUGAACUGUGGGUAGCGGAGAAAUUCCAAUCGAACCCGGAGAUAGCUGGUUCUCUCCGAAAUAGCUUUAGGGCUAGCCUUGAAAUAGAUUACCGGAGGUAAAGCACUGAAUUGGCUAGGGGCCGAGAGGUUACUGAACCUUAUCAAACUAAGAAUGCCGGAUAAUCGUUUUUCAGGAGUCAGACAGUGGGAGAUAAGUUUCAUUGUCAAAAGGGAAACAGCCCAGACCCACAGCUAAGGUCCCCAAGUAUAGUUAAGUGGAAAAGGAUGUGGAAUUGCACAGACAACCAGGAUGUUGGCUUAGAAGCAGCCACUCAUUUAAAGAGUGCGUAAUAGCUCACUGGUCGAGUGAUUCUGCGCCGAAAAUUUCCGGGGCUAAAACUUACUACCGAAGCUACGGCAUCAUUAUGAUGGGUAGGGGAGCUUUCUAUGCGGCUUGAAGCAUGACCGUAAGGACAUGUGGACUGCAUAGAAGUGAGAAUGUUGGCAUGAGUAGCGAGAUGUGGGUGAGAAUCCCACAGGCCGUAAACCCAAGGUUUCCAGGGGAAGGUUCGUCCGCCCUGGGUUAGUCAGGACCUAAGCCGAGGCCGAAAGGCGUAGGUGAUGGACAACAGGUUGAUAUUCCUGUACCGCCAAUAAGCGUUUGAGAGAUGGAGUGACACAGUAGGAUAAGCUAACCGCACUGUUGGUUAUGUGCGGGCAAGUAUUGAGGCAGUUCCGAUAGGCAAAUCCGUCGGAAUAAUGCUGGGGUACGAUGCGGAGCGAAAUUUAGUAGCGAAGUAGCUGAUUUCACACUGUCGAGAAAAGUCUCUAUCGAGGUUAAAGGUGCCUGUACCGCAAACCGACACAGGUGGGUGAGGAGAGUAUCCUAAGGCCAGCGAGAGAACUGUUGUUAAGGAACUCGGCAAAAUGACCCCGUAACUUAGGGAGAAGGGGUGCCUUCGAAAGAAGGCCGCAGAGAAUAGGCCCAAGCGACUGUUUACCAAAAACAUAGGUUUCUGCUAAGUCGCAAGACGAUGUAUAGGAGCUGACGCCUGCCCGGUGCUGGAAGGUUAAGGGGAUCUGUUAGAGCAAUCGAAGCAGUGAACUUAAGCCCCAGUAAACGGCGGCCGUAACUAUAACGGUCCUAAGGUAGCGAAAUUCCUUGUCGGGUAAGUUCCGACCCGCACGAAAGGCGUAACGAUUUGGGCACUGUCUCAACAACAGACUCGGUGAAAUUGUAAUACCGGUGAAGAUGCCGGUUACCUGCGACAGGACGGAAAGACCCCAUGGAGCUUUACUGUAGCUUGACAUUGAGUCUCGGUGCUACAUGUACAGGAUAGGUGGGAGACUAUGAAGCAUGGACGUCAGUCUGUGUGGAGUCAUCCUUGGGAUACCACCCUUGUAGUACUGGGAUUCUAACCAGAGGCCAUGAAUCUGGUCUUGGGACACUGUCAGGUGGACAGUUUGACUGGGGCGGUCGCCUCCCAAAAGGUAACGGAGGCGCUCAAAGGUUCUCUCAGUACGGUCGGAAAUCGUACGAAGAGUGUAAAGGCAAAAGAGAGCUUGAUUGCAAGACAUACAGGUCGAGCAAGGACGAAAGUCGGACUUAGUGAUCCGGUGGUUCCGCAUGGAAGGGCCAUCGCUCAACGGAUAAAAGCUACCCUGGGGAUAACAGGCUGAUCUCCCCCAAGAGUCCACAUCGACGGGGAGGUUUGGCACCUCGAUGUCGGCUCAUCGCAUCCUGGGGCUGAAUUCGGUCCCAAGGGUUUGGCUGUUCGCCAAUUAAAGCGGCACGCGAGCUGGGUUCAGAACGUCGUGAGACAGUUCGGUCCCUAUCUGUUGCGGGCGCAGGAGAUUUGAAGGGAGCUGUCCUUAGUACGAGAGGACCGGGAUGGACAGACCUCUGGUGCACCAGUUGUCGUGCCAACGGCACAGCUGGGUAGCUACGUCUGGACGAGAUAAACGCUGAAGGCAUCUAAGCGUGAAACUCCCCCUAAGAUAAGAUCUCCCAUCCAUUAGGAGUAAGGGACGACAGAGACUAUGUCGUUGAUAGGUCGGAAGUGUAAGUGCAGUAAUGCAUUGAGCUGACCGAUACUAAUAACCCGAGGGCUUGACCU